This 426-nucleotide ribosomal RNA is filed under the name uncultured bacterium. RNAcentral's name for it is "partial 16S ribosomal RNA". It matches the Rfam family "Bacterial small subunit ribosomal RNA", at positions 354 to 796 of the family's 1533-position model. The record is from RNAcentral.
GUGAGGAAUUUUCCGCAAUGGGCGAAAGCCUGACGGAGCAAUGCCGCGUGAAGGAUGAAGGCCUAUGGGUUGUAAACUUCUUUUCUCAGAAAAGAAUUAUGACGGUAUCUGAGGAAUAAGCAUCGGCUAAAUCUGUGCCAGCAGCCGCGGUAAGACAGAGUAUGAAAGCGUUAUCCGGAAUGAUUGGGCGUAAAGCGUCUGUAGGUUGUUUAAAAAGUAUUCUGUCAAAGAUUAGGGCUUAACCCUAGAUAGGCAGAAUAAACUUUUAAGCUAGAGUUUGGUAGAGGCAGAGGGAAUUCCCGGUGGAGCGGUGAAAUGCGUAGAUAUCGGGAGGAACACCAAAGGCGAAGGCACUCUGCUGGGCCAAUACUAACACUGAGAGACGAAAGCGAGGGGAGCAAAUGGGAUUAGAAACCCGAGUAGUCC